GGGAGUUUGGCCGAGUGGUUAAGGCGCCGUGUUUAGGCCGCGGUGGGAAACCGCGCAGGUUCGAAUCCUGCAGCUCUCA
RNAcentral lists this transfer RNA (79 nucleotides) under Rosellinia necatrix. Its description in RNAcentral is "tRNA-Leu". It matches the Rfam family "tRNA". Rfam says of the family: Transfer RNA (tRNA) molecules are approximately 80 nucleotides in length. Their secondary structure includes four short double-helical elements and three loops (D, anti-codon, and T loops). Further hydrogen bonds mediate the characteristic L-shaped molecular structure. tRNAs have two regions of fundamental functional importance: the anti-codon, which is responsible for specific mRNA codon recognition, and the 3' end, to which the tRNAs corresponding amino acid is attached (by aminoacyl-tRNA synthetases). tRNAs cope with the degeneracy of the genetic code in two manners: having more than one tRNA (with a specific anti-codon) for a particular amino acid; and 'wobble' base-pairing, i.e. permitting non-standard base-pairing at the 3rd anti-codon position. The record is from RNAcentral. Lineage: Eukaryota; Fungi; Ascomycota; Sordariomycetes; Xylariales; Xylariaceae.